Molecule: long non-coding RNA, 1002 nt
Organism: Bos taurus (domestic cattle)
Lineage: Eukaryota; Metazoa; Chordata; Mammalia; Artiodactyla; Bovidae
Source: Ensembl
GGGCUUCCCUUGUGGCUCAGCUGGUAAAGAAUCCACCUGCAGUACAGGAGACCUAGGUUUGAUCCCUGGGUUAGGAAGAUCUCCUGGAGAAGGGAAAGGCUACCCACUCCAGUAUUCUGGCCAUGGGGUCGCAAAGAAUCAGACACGACUGAGCAACUUUCACUUUAACUUUUUUCGUGCCAGCCGAAGGGAGACAUAGGCUGAGCCGACCUCACAGGAGAAACUGUUCUCCCAAGCUCACAGAAGGACUAGGCAUGAUUGCCAGAGGCCUCGGGUUCCAGAACCAUGCCAGUAUUUCCUUCUCUCUUCUGAUGGGCUGAUUAAGAGGAAACUGACCACCUGUCAAACCAGUUGAUCCUAAAGAAAAUCAGUCCUGAAUAUUCAUUGGAAAGACUGAGGCUGAAGCUGAAACUCCCAAUACUUUGGCCACCUGAUGCGAAGAACUGACUCAUUGGAAAAGACACGGAUGCUGGGAAAGAUUGAAGGUGAAAGGAGAAGGGGACAACAGAGGAUGAGAUUGUUGGAUAGCAUCACCAACUCAUUGGACAUGAGUUUGAGUAAGCUUUGGGAGUUAGUGAUGGACAGGGAAGCCUGGUAUGCUGCAGUCCAUGGGGUCGCAAAGAGUUGGAUACGACUGAACUGAACUGACCAUCUGUGAGCACUUUUCUCCAGCUGGGGUGGGGAGCCACAGCCUAGGCAAAAACAGAGACACUGCCUCAAGUACUUAACUGGGAGGCAGGCAGCACAGCCUUGCCCAAGAUAAGCGCCUUGACCUUGACCUUAGUCCUGACCUCAGAUCCCAGAUUCACAAUAUCAGCCAUGUGAUCUUUGGCUGGAAUCAAGAGAGGGCAAACCAGAAGGCCCAGCUUCGGGUUUGACUCCCAGGACGACCGGCUGGAAGGAAAAGCAACAGGCAAAACAGGCUCCUGAGGCACUGGAAUAGUGAGACUACAUUGUUACACUGGUGACAGUGUCUGCUGAAGAAGCGCCAGAGCUGUAUGC